UAUUGCACAAUGGGGGAAACCCUGAUGCAGCGACGCCGCGUGAGUGAAGAAGUAUUUCGGUAUGUAAAGCUCUAUCAGCAGGGCAGAAAAUGACGGUACCUGCUUAAAAAGCCCCGGCUAACUACGUGCCAGCAGCCGCGGUAAUACGUAGGGGGCAAGCGUUAUCCGGAUUUACCGGGUGUAAAGGGAGCGUAGACGGCAGCACAAGUCUGGAGUGAAAAGCCGGGGCUUAACCCCGGAACUGCUUUGGGAACUGUGCAGCUAGAGUGCAGGAGAGGUAAGUGGAAUUCCUAGUGUAGCGGUGAAAUGCGUAGAUAAUAGGAGGAACACCAGUGGCGAAGGCGGCUUACUGGACUGUAACUGACGUUGAGGCUCGAAAGCGUGGGGAGCAAACAGG
This 397-nucleotide ribosomal RNA is filed under the name uncultured bacterium. Its description in RNAcentral is "bacterial SSU rRNA". It matches the Rfam family "Bacterial small subunit ribosomal RNA", at positions 362 to 776 of the family's 1533-position model. The record is from RNAcentral.